Etheostoma cragini (Arkansas darter) is the source of this 163-nucleotide long non-coding RNA. RefSeq lists it as uncharacterized. The transcript has 3 exons. NCBI's taxonomy places the organism in Eukaryota, Metazoa, Chordata, Actinopteri, Perciformes, Percidae. The record is from RefSeq and is a predicted model, not a curated record.
UGUGUGUAACAAGCAUAGUGUGUGCUGUGCACGAGCCUGUAUGUGCAAUUCACUAGUAUUCUGUUAAAAUAACAAUGACAUGUUGCGUUAUUUACUUUAGACCAGGUUUUUGUUUGUCGAUGGCGCGAUCACUUCUCGCUGCCUCAAGAUAGCAAUACUUCCU